UAGGCUGAAGUCCGAUGGUUUGGACGGCUAGUUGUUAACUAGUUUAUUGUGAGAUCGAGGCUCAUCAGUCUAG
Molecule: transfer RNA, 73 nt
Filed under: Xenopeltis hainanensis
Lineage: Eukaryota; Metazoa; Chordata; Lepidosauria; Squamata; Xenopeltidae
Description: tRNA-Asn
Source: RNAcentral